UACGUAGGGGGCAAGCGUUGUCCGGAUUCAUUGGGCGUAAAGAGCGUGUAGGCGGCCAGGUAGGUCGGUUGUGAAAACUGGAGGCUCAACCUUCAGAGGUCGACCGAAACCAUCUGGCUAGAGUCCGGGAGAGGAGAGUGGAAUUCCUGGUGUAGCGGUGAAAUGCGCAGAUAUCAGGAAGAACACCCGUGGCGAAAGCGGCUCUCUGGAACGGUACUGACGCUGAGACGUGAAAGCGUGGGGGAGCGAACAGG
This 254-nucleotide ribosomal RNA is filed under the name uncultured bacterium. Its description in RNAcentral is "partial 16S ribosomal RNA". It matches the Rfam family "Bacterial small subunit ribosomal RNA", at positions 524 to 776 of the family's 1533-position model. The record is from RNAcentral.